CGCGUAGGCGGCCCGGCAGGCCGGGGGUCGAAGCGGGGGGCUCAACCCCCCGAAGCCCCCGGAACCUCCGCGGCUUGGGUCCGGUAGGGGAGGGUGGAACACCCGGUGUAGCGGUGGAAUGCGCAGAUAUCGGGUGGAACACCGGUGGCGAAGGCGGCCCUCUGGGCCGUUACUGACGCUGAGGAGCGAAAGCGUGGGGAGCGAACA
This 207-nucleotide ribosomal RNA is filed under the name uncultured bacterium. RNAcentral's name for it is "partial 16S ribosomal RNA". It matches the Rfam family "Bacterial small subunit ribosomal RNA", at positions 568 to 774 of the family's 1533-position model. The record is from RNAcentral.